RNAcentral lists this unclassified non-coding RNA (347 nucleotides) under Edwardsiella tarda. Its description in RNAcentral is "short 16S-23S intergenic spacer". The stretch from base 234 to 340 matches the Rfam family "Salmonella enterica Typhi npcRNA 44". The record is from RNAcentral. Lineage: Bacteria; Pseudomonadati; Pseudomonadota; Gammaproteobacteria; Enterobacterales; Hafniaceae.
CCURAAGAUACGAAAUUGUGUAGUGCUCACACAGAUUGUCUGAUAGAUGUUCGAGCAAACGCGUCUGCGAAGCCGACCCUGUGUCCCCUUCGUCUAGAGGCCUAGGACACCGCCCUUUCACGGCGGUAACAGGGGUUCGAAUCCCCUAGGGGACGCCAUUUGCGGUAUCGGGUGAAAGACGAUGCCAACUGUAUUGCAAAACGGACUUACGAGUCAUGUUUGCAAUAUUUGCUCUUUAACAAUCUGGAACAAGCUGAAAAUUCGAAAACAAUCGAAUUGCUUUUAAUAAGUGAUUCGAGAGUCUCUCAAAUGCUUACAGCACGAAGUGAAACACCUUCGGGUUGUGA